Molecule: ribosomal RNA, 253 nt
Filed under: uncultured bacterium
Lineage: Bacteria
Description: partial 16S ribosomal RNA
Rfam family: Bacterial small subunit ribosomal RNA
Source: RNAcentral
UACGAAGGGGGCGAGCGUUGUUCGGAAUUACUGGGCGUAAAGGGUGCGUAGGUGGUUUGUUAAGUCUGCUGUGAAAUCCCCGGGCUCAACCUGGGAAUGGCAGUGGAUACUGGCAAGCUAGAGUGCGGUAGAGGGUAGUGGAAUUCCCGGUGUAGCAGUGAAAUGCGUAGAGAUCGGGAGGAACACCAGUGGCGAAGGCGGCUACCUGGACCAGAACUGACACUGAAGCACGAAAGCGUGGGGAGCAAACAGG